Molecule: ribosomal RNA, 253 nt
Filed under: uncultured bacterium
Lineage: Bacteria
Description: partial 16S ribosomal RNA
Rfam family: Bacterial small subunit ribosomal RNA
Source: RNAcentral
UACGAAGGGUGCGAGCGUUAAUCGGAAUUACUGGGCGUAAAGAGCACGUAGGUGGUUUGAUAAGCGGAAUGUGAAAGCCCCGGGCUUAACCUGGGAACUGCAUUCCGAACUGUCAGGCUAGAGUAUGGUAGAGGUAAGCGGAAUUUCCUGUGUAGCGGUGAAAUGCGUAGAUAUAGGAAGGAACAUCAGUUGCGAAGGCGGCUUACUGGACCAAUACUGACACUGAGGUGCGAAAGCGUGGGUAGCGAACAGG